Molecule: ribosomal RNA, 459 nt
Filed under: uncultured bacterium
Lineage: Bacteria
Description: partial 16S ribosomal RNA
Rfam family: Bacterial small subunit ribosomal RNA
Source: RNAcentral
CCUACGGGUGGCAGCAGUGAGGAAUAUUGGUCAAUGGCCGAGAGGCUGAACCAGCCAAGUCGCGUGAGGGAUGACGGCCCUACGGGUUGUAAACCUCUUUUGUCGGGGAGCAAAGCGAGUCAUGUGUGCCCUAUUGAAAGUACCCGAUGAAAAAGGAUCGGCUAACUCCGUGCCAGCAGCCGCGGUAAUACGGAGGAUGCGAGCGUUAUCCGGAUUUAUUGGGUUUAAAGGGUGCGUAGGUGGAGGUGCAGGUCAGUGGGAAAAUUGUGGGGCUCAACCCCGUACUGCCGUUGAAACUGGGGGCCUUGAGUACGGGAGAAGUAUGCGGAAUGCGUGGUGUAGCGGUGAAAUGCAUAGAUAUCACGCAGAACUCCGAUUGCGAAGGCAGCAUACCGGCCCGCAACUGACGCUGAGGCACGAAAGCGUGGGUAUCGAACAGGAUUAGAUACCCCUGUAGUC